This 601-nucleotide ribosomal RNA is filed under the name Microsporidium sp. HEM-2006AHc. RNAcentral's name for it is "bacterial SSU rRNA". It matches the Rfam family "Microsporidia small subunit ribosomal RNA", at positions 229 to 831 of the family's 1311-position model. The record is from RNAcentral. Lineage: Eukaryota; Fungi; Microsporidia.
UUGGGGUUUGGUUCCGGAGAGGGAGCCUGAGAGAUGGCUACUACGUCCAAGGAUGGCAGCAGGCGCGGAACUUGCCGAAUCCUGAUGGGAGGCAGUUAGCAGAUGUUAUGUGUGUGGUGAAUUGCAACGAGAUUCGCUGUGAUUGGAGGGCAAGUCGGGUGCCAGCAGCCGCGGUAAUACCUGCUCCAAGAGUGUCUAUGGUGGAUGCUGCAGUUAAAAGGUUCGUAGUUGUGUUGAUGGUGUAUGUUUUGUGUGCCUGUGGCUAUAGCGGGCUGUGGAUGUAUGCGGCAACGGGCGCAACGGACGGGGGGCACUGGAUAGUUGGGCGAGAGGUGAAAUGUGACGACCCUGACUGGACAGACGGAGGCGAAGGCUGUGCUCUUGGACGGAUGUGUGGAUCAAGAACGAAGGCUGGAGGAUCGAAAUCGAUUAGAUACCGUUUUAGUUCCAGCAGUAAACGAUGCCGACUGGAUGGUGCUGUUGCACUGUCCGCGAGAAAUCUGUGAGUGUGUGGGCUCUGGGGAUAGUAUGUUCGCAAGAGGGAAACUUAAAGAGAUUGACGGAAGGACACCACCAGGAGUGGAGUGUGCGGCUUAAUUUG